GGCCCUAUCGUCUAGAGGCCUAGGACUCCAGAUUCUCAAUCUGGCAACACCGGUUCGAAUCCGGUUAGGGUCAC
This 74-nucleotide transfer RNA is filed under the name Parcubacteria group bacterium ADurb.Bin216. RNAcentral describes it as "tRNA-Glu". It matches the Rfam family "tRNA". From Rfam's summary of the family: Transfer RNA (tRNA) molecules are approximately 80 nucleotides in length. Their secondary structure includes four short double-helical elements and three loops (D, anti-codon, and T loops). Further hydrogen bonds mediate the characteristic L-shaped molecular structure. tRNAs have two regions of fundamental functional importance: the anti-codon, which is responsible for specific mRNA codon recognition, and the 3' end, to which the tRNAs corresponding amino acid is attached (by aminoacyl-tRNA synthetases). tRNAs cope with the degeneracy of the genetic code in two manners: having more than one tRNA (with a specific anti-codon) for a particular amino acid; and 'wobble' base-pairing, i.e. permitting non-standard base-pairing at the 3rd anti-codon position. RNAcentral also lists the same sequence under 1 other name. The record is from RNAcentral.